Non-coding RNA from Coturnix japonica (Japanese quail), 1345 nucleotides. NCBI's taxonomy places the organism in Eukaryota, Metazoa, Chordata, Aves, Galliformes, Phasianidae. The record is from RefSeq and is a predicted model, not a curated record.
CAGCUGGUGGGAAGGCAAGGCCAACCCAGGGGAGCUCAGGUGCAUGCAAUGAACCUGAGUGACUGAAAGGGGUGGAGCAAGGAGGCACUACUUCCCAAACCUCAUUUAAGGGUUGGUGGUGGUGCUGUGGGUGCUUUGCUGGAGAUCUCUGUAUAUCUGAAUCCUUCUGGAGGUCCUCAGGUGUUCAGUGAGAGAAACAUGUGCUUACCAUGUGCAAUAUUAUCUCCUAUGCUAAGUAUUCAUUGGUGACAAAAGCUCAUUGAGAGGGACCUCUGGAGAUCAUCUGGUUUAACUUCCCACGUGAAGGGGGACUGCUGCUGGUGCUGGAUCAGGAUGGGAAUGCUUUUAACAUUUGUUUCAAGAACAACAUUUAAUCAGAUGGCAAUAUGCAUGUAUUUCCAUCUGUGAAAUCUACCUAGAAAUAUGGAAUCUGUUCUGGGAGGGAGCCUUCUUGUUGAAAGUACAAGACCACUGUGCUCAGUGAUAAAGAGAACCUUACUUAUCUCCUCUUCAAAAUUAGAAGACCUUGUUAAUAUUCCAGACCUGGUUUAUGGAACUGCUGGCAGUCGCUGCAGAUCUAUUUGAAUCAAAAUGAAAGCUGAUGGAAGAAAUCAGAAAUGCAGUGCAGCAGCUCAGUGUUGAUGCAUACCAAGGAUGGUAAAGACCACAUCAAGGAGUGGGCAGGAGCUUUCCUGAGGUUGGCCAUGUGGUAACCUGGAUCAAGAGCCUAAGUGCCUUUAUGCUGCUUGGAGGAGCAAUCAAGAUCAGGAACGUACAGUUGAACGCUCCAUGCACCUGUUGUUGAACAGCCUCUGCCUUCUAAGAAUCUCAGGUGUUACCCUUCACAGCUGAUGCAUGUAAUGCUUUUACAUUCUUCUAUUUUUCCCACUUUCCAGGGAGAUCCAGCCCCCUUAUUGUUUUAUUUUUUGUCUCCCUUCUCUAAUCAGCUCAACGUCUCCCCUAUUUCCAGUAUUCUUAAGCUUUUGCUUAAUACAGUUGUCAUUUAAAGAGCUUUGUGUAGCUACCCUCUGGGAAUGUAGUGCUUUGUACGCUGCCUUGGAGAAAAUAAGCUUGAUAUUUGGCAUGUAGAGAGAAACCCGUAACAUUUAACCCCUGGCAAACUGUGACACAGAUUUUUCCAGAGUUUUUUUGUAAUAUAACUUGGAAAAUUACUUCCAGUUUUGCAUGAAAAGCUCAAAGUCCAGAAUUUCUGGAAUGUUUAUUUCAGUUAUCACUUCAAGCAGAAAAAAAUGGUAUUCUUUAUUGUAGUAGUGCCUAGAACUUGAGCUGAGGGUGUCGUUUUGUUGUAUCGUUUAAAAUAAAAAAUGCUCUUCUACUAAAUAUA